GAUAGUCAUGGAUGCGUUGCCGGCCAAAGCUCAAAGGUCUGCUUGCAUCCACGACGGAU
Molecule: small RNA, 59 nt
Filed under: Sinorhizobium meliloti 2011
Lineage: Bacteria; Pseudomonadati; Pseudomonadota; Alphaproteobacteria; Hyphomicrobiales; Rhizobiaceae
Description: putative ncRNA
Source: RNAcentral